UGGGGAAUAUUGCACAAUGGGCGAAAGCCUGAUGCAGCGACGCCGCGUGAGUGAAGAAGUAUUUCGGUAUGUAAAGCUCUAUCAGCAGGGAAGAAAAUGACGGUACCUGACUAAGAAGCCCCGGCUAACUACGUGCCAGCAGCCGCGGUAAUACGUAGGGGGCAAGCGUUAUCCGGAUUUACUGGGUGUAAAGGGAGCGUAGACGGCGAAGCAAGUCUGAAGUGAAAACCCAGGGCUCAACCCUGGGACUGCUUUGGAAACUGUUUUGCUAGAGUGUCGGAGAGGUAAGUGGAAUUCCUAGUGUAGCGGUGAAAUGCGUAGAUAUUAGGAGGAACACGAGUGGCGAAGGCGGCUUACUGGACAAUAACUGACGUUGAGGCUCGAAAGCGUGGGGAGCAAACAGG
RNAcentral lists this ribosomal RNA (404 nucleotides) under Fusobacteriota bacterium. RNAcentral's name for it is "Fusobacteria bacterium partial 16S ribosomal RNA". It matches the Rfam family "Bacterial small subunit ribosomal RNA", at positions 355 to 776 of the family's 1533-position model. Lineage: Bacteria; Fusobacteriati; Fusobacteriota. The record is from RNAcentral.